UACGAAGGGGGCUAGCGUUGCUCGGAAUUACUGGGCGUAAAGCGCACGUAGGCGGCUUGUUAAGUCGGAGGUGAAAUCCUGGAGCUCAACUCCAGAACUGCCUUCGAUACUGGCGAGCUCGAGUCCGGGAGAGGUGAGUGGAACUGCGAGUGUAGAGGUGAAAUUCGUAGAUAUUCGCAAGAACACCAGUGGCGAAGGCGGCUCACUGGCCUGGUACUGACGCUGAGGUGCGAAAGCGUGGGGAGCAAACAGG
RNAcentral lists this ribosomal RNA (253 nucleotides) under uncultured bacterium. RNAcentral describes it as "partial 16S ribosomal RNA". It matches the Rfam family "Bacterial small subunit ribosomal RNA", at positions 524 to 776 of the family's 1533-position model. The record is from RNAcentral.